This 494-nucleotide ribosomal RNA is filed under the name uncultured Massilia sp. Its description in RNAcentral is "partial 16S ribosomal RNA". The record is from RNAcentral. Lineage: Bacteria; Pseudomonadati; Pseudomonadota; Betaproteobacteria; Burkholderiales; Oxalobacteraceae.
CACGUAGUUAGCCGGUGCUUAUUCCUCAGGUACCGUCAUUAGCCCCAGAUAUUAGCCGGAGCCGUUUCUUCCCUGACAAAAGAGCUUUACAACCCGAAGGCCUUCUUCACUCACGCGGCAUUGCUGGAUCAGGCUUGCGCCCAUUGUCCAAAAUUCCCCACUGCUGCCUCCCGUAGGAGUCUGGACCGUGUCUCAGUUCCAGUGUGGCUGGUCGUCCUCUCAGACCAGCUACUGAUCGUCGCCUUGGUGAGCCUUUACCCCACCAACUAGCUAAUCAGACAUCGGCCGCUCCAAAAGCAUGAGGCCCGAAGGUCCCCCAUUUCUUCCGUAGAACGUAUGCGGUAUUAGCGCAACUUUCGCUGCGUUAUCCCCCACUUCUGGGUACGUUCCGAUGUAUUACUCACCCGUUCGCCACUCGCCACCAGGCCGAAGCCCCGUGCUGCCGUUCGACUUGCAUGUGUAAAGCAUGCCGCAGCGUUCAAUCUGAGCCAGGA